RNAcentral lists this ribosomal RNA (456 nucleotides) under uncultured bacterium. RNAcentral's name for it is "bacterial SSU rRNA". It matches the Rfam family "Bacterial small subunit ribosomal RNA", at positions 53 to 507 of the family's 1533-position model. The record is from RNAcentral.
ACAUGCAAGUACGAGGGGUAGUUGGUUUCGGUACCAAGAGACCGGCGCACGGGUGCGUAACGCGUAUGCAAUCUACCUUUGUCAGAGGGAGUAGCCAGAGAAAUUUAGUAUUAAUACCUCAUAGUAUAGUACUUUGGCAUCAAGGAACUAUUAAAGUCACAACGGCAAAAGAUGAGCAUGCGUCCCAUUAGCUAGUUGGUAAGGUAACGGCUUACCAAGGCUACGAUGGGUAGGGGUCCUGAGAGGGAGAUCCCCCACACUGGUACUGAGACACGGACCAGACUCCUACGGGAGGCAGCAGUGAGGAAUAUUGGACAAUGGGCGCAAGCCUGAUCCAGCCAUGCCGCGUGCAGGAUGACGGUCCUAUGGAUUGUAAACUGCUUUUAUACAGGAAGAAACACUCCGACGUGUCGGAGCUUGACGGUACUGUAAGAAUAAGGAUCGGCUAACUCCGUG